UUGGUUUUGAUUUUGGUUUGCUUACAAGAAAAAUAGUUUUGUGAAUGAAAAAGUAAAACUACAUAUUUACAAUUCAAAAGAAGAAUAGUGGUUUGGAAACAUGAAUGUAAAGUUUCUUAACUUUUUCAAUAUCAACAUGAUAAGCUUUAUGCAAGUUAUUUUAGUGUGAUUCUAUCCACCAUACAUUAUUUCUUAACCAACCAUCCCGGGUAUGGUCAAGGUUAGAUGAUUUUCAAACCUUGCUUAAUAUACUACCCCUCAUUGGUUUCCACUUGUCGAAAUGAGCCUGCCACAUCUCUUUUCAGCUUCCCCAAAGCUUAAUAGCAUUGCAAACAAGUUGCUUAUUUCAAAUUCUUUCAAAUGGCAAAUGUUCUUUCCCAACACUUUGGCCUUAAAACAUUUGUUAUUUCAUCUAACAAAAGAGUUUGAAUCUUUGAAAAUAUAUUUUAGGUGAUCAAUCUAAAAUAAGCAUCCAGAGCAGAUGAAAUGAAACAAUAGAUUAAAACACAUAACUUACAUUAAUAAAUUAGAAUCAAUACGUUGAGUAAUAAAUGGUGCACUAUUGUCCAAAUCUGUGAGUAAUUAGCCUUCCAUCAAGGAUGCUUUAAACUCCAACUAUUGAUCUGAGAACAAGCUCCAAGAUCACACUUUUCCCAACUCCUACUCCCCCCGAAUUUCCUAAAGAGAAAGUAAAUUACCUAAGCUUCUAUAAGUAAAGAAUAGAUUGCACUACAAGUGAAGAAAGAAUUGGAAUGAGAUUACGAAGAAUGGAAUGGAACGAAUGGUGAAGGGUCCUUUAUAUAGGUUUUUAUUAAUCCGCUAAGCCCCUUUUUGGCAUGCUCAACGCCUAUCAUCCAGCCAAGUUGUGGUGCUUGGCUCAUUUGGCCAAGCAGCUGCUAGCUAUGGAUAAGCUUAGCCUAACCAUGUUGUUGUCCAGGCUAGCAUCAGCCUAUUGUGGGCUAAGUGAAGCAAUUUACAUGUUGGUACACAAGGGUUCUAAACUUCACCUAGAGGGGGUGAAAAAGUGAUUCGAUACUCGCACAUCUUAGGUACCCAAAUGAUCUUAGGUCUCUUGAUGUUAGUUACUUUGAGAUCUUGACCCUUACUAAUCCACAUAUACUACCCAUUUGGCACACCAUGCAUUCUAAUAUGACAUGAACUCAAAGUAUGACUAUGCACACCAUAAUAGAAACAAUUAGGAGACUUAUGAUACGAAAUUUUAGAAAAAAUCUACUUCUUCUUUGUAAGAUUUGUUCUUUGCAUGAGUAUAAAUCAAACCAGAUCUAUUCCCAAUGUUUCUAUAUGUAGCAAGUAAGUUGUUUAAGUUGUAACUACUUGUUGUGAGAUUUGCAACUUUAUCUUUUAAAUUUUUUAUUCUCUUUUUCCAAAAAAGUACGUGUUUCACAAGCAGACGUCACAUUUAAUUUAGUAAACAAUCACAUGAAGAGUUAGCAUAAAUAAGAUCCAAGGUUUCAUUUUAUAAUUUAAGCUCGUCAAUUUUUUGUUGUUGCAAUUCACAGAUUCUAUUUUCAUGUUCCAAUAUUAACCCUUUUCAGUCCACAUACUUUUGUGCUAACUUUUUAAGUUCUUCACGCAUUUCAACAUAAGCACCAUAUAGCAUAUCAUAAUGGGGAAAUCAUCAGAAUUGCCAUCAGGAUCGGAAGAGCUUACCUCACUAGAUUCAACUUGCACACUAAUUUGGCAAGAUUUCUAGUUUUAUACCAUAAGGCAUAGCUUCGUCGAUUCUUCAUCUUCCGAAGUGCUAGAUGUUGUGUCCUCUUUGGAUACAUUCCAAACGAUGUAUGCAUUCUUAGCCUUGUGUCCUCACCUUUGGUUGUCAUGUCCUAUCAAGACAUCUUAAAACUAUGUUAGUCAAUUCACCAUUAACAAACAUUUUAUCUAAAGCAAUAAGAUGGUUAACAAUGUGAGUAAAUCGUUUUUGCAUAUCGCUAAUAGAUUUGUGUGAAAACAUGUGAAAUAACUCAUAUUCAUGUGUCAAUGCAUUUAAUCUAACCCGCUUAACCUCACUAGUGCCUUCAUGAGUUACUUGUAAAGUAUCUCACAUUUCUUUGGCACUCUCGCAUUGUGAAACUCUAAAGAACUCAUCAUAUAAAAGUGCAGAAAUAAUUAUGUUUUUAGCUUUCAAAUCAUGCUACACUUUCUUCUUUUCCUCAUUGAUCAAGAGACUUUUUGGCAAUUUAUUUAGUUUCACCUUCCACCAAGUCUAGUGGAAUAUAAGGUCCAUUUUGUAUGGCAUCCCAAAUAUCUGUAUCUAUGGUCUCAAUGAAUAUCCUCAUUCUAAAUUUUCAGUAGGCAUAGCUUUCUCCACUAAAGACGGGAAGACGAUUGAUAGAGGAUCCUUCACCACAAAAAGAAAUCGUAGAGUCUAUUGUGUAUAUCCCUAGGAUCACACAAAUUAGCGAUUAAGCUAGUAUCUUCGAACUAGCUCUGAUGCCACUCAUUGGUACACAAGGACUCUAAACUUCACCGAGAUGGGAGAUCGAAUAGGUGGUUUGGUACUCGAUUACUGUUUCUCGAUUAAAAAGAUAUUCAAUGAUUAUCCUCACUGCCUAAUCGUUUAACAUAUGCCUUGAUCGAUUAAUUGUUUCUCAUAUAAUCGAUUAACUCAAGAACUUAAUGGAUUAACCAGUUAUUGUUUCUUGAAAACUUGUUUUCUUUAUACACAAAGAUGCAAAGAUUCGACUAAACUUGUAUUCAAUCUACCAGAUGAUAAUAUGCAGUUAACCGCAUAGAACAAAUCAUACAAUUAACACAGGAAGAUUAAAAUUCAAAGUAAAGUAAAUCAAAUAAUGUGAUAACUUAAAGAGUUAAGGGAUAAGAAGAAUGAGACAAUAACUUUUAUCCUGGUUCGUUUGCUUGUCCACGUGCAAACUAUAUUCAGACCUCCCCUUCUGAUCUUGGGAGAUUUUCUUCAAUGUGAAAUAAAUGUUUUACACACACACUUCUACCAAGACAAUCUUGGACUCAAGCUUCUAAUGGCUUAUCUUCACCCACUUCUAAUGACUCUUCACCAUUUCUAAUGGACGACCCCACCACUUCUAACUUCUCUACCAAAACUCUUGUAUAGUGAAUCUAGCUUCUAAUGGAUUCUCGCCUCUUCUAACCAUGGUUUCCCAAACCUUUUCUCUUCUUCUUAGUGAGAACACACACCAAAGAGAAAUAUUAAUAUAAUCAUCUACAAUGUGUACAAAAUGAGUAAUGCACCUUAAACUGUUGAAUAUACAUACACUUCCAGAAUCUAAAACCUCUCUAAAAGUUUGAUACAACCCAGAAUUAAGAUGUGAGAUGCAAGAUUUUGUAAACUUGAUUUGACUAUGAAAAUAUUGAAAUACUUCUCUAAAGAUUCAUAUUUCGUUUCUUGUGUAUCAAAACACUUUUCUCUCUUUCUCAGAAACACAUUAGAAAAUCUAUCUUUUGAUGUGAAAGUUAAAAUCAAUCUGAAUUUCAUUAUGAGAUGCAAAUGAGAAAAGUUGGUUUAAAAUACAGUUUUAUUUUCUAGUAUAGUUUAUCGAUUAAACAUUCUAUUUAAUUGAUUAAAAAUCUUUGAAAAUCAAGAUUUCAGAUACUGUAAUUUCCAUUAAUCGAUUAACCCUUAACUUAAUCGAUUAACGAGUUCCCGUUUUGCAUAACUUAAUCGAUUAACUAAACCUUAAUCGAUUAAGGGUUUUCUGAAAAGUUACUUUAGUGUGAUAUAACAUCCUACAUGAUUUGUAAAAGUAUGAUGCAUGAUUUUGAAUGAUGUAUGAUUUAAACUUUCUUUAAUACAUCAAAAUCAUGUGAUCAUGUAUUCAUGCAUGUGCAUGUAAAUUAUAUAUGUAUACAUGUAAGUCUCAUUAUUAGUUAUGAUCAUAUUUUAGUUUGUGAGACUUUCAUUAACGUCCACCUAACCUAGACUCUACCCAAUCAAACAUUUUAAGACAUAAGAUAAUAGAAAAUACUUUUAGCCUUAUAGAUCUUCUUGAAUGCUUUAACUUUGAGUGAACUUGAGCCUUUGAUUUAUUGUUUGUUUAUUUGUCAAUAUCUUCAAAGUUGUCUUUAAACUUUGUCUUCGUCAAAAUCCAUGUGAUACAUGCUUGUAUUUACAAUCUCUCUAUAUGAUGCAUACUUACAUUUAAAAUAAUUACAUGUCCUUUUAUGUGGCAAUAUAUUGUCUUAUAAAUUUGGUCUUCAUUAAAACUAUGAUAUCCAUAGUCUUCAAACUAACAUGCAUUUAAGCUUUCAAAAUUCUAUAUGUUAAUGUCGUUAAUCGUUAUCGAUAACAGGGUGAUUGUAAUGGGGAUGAUUGUGUCAAACAUGAAUCGUGUAGAAGAAUGUAAGUUAUGUAGAUGUCAUUUGUCUCUCAUAUGUAAUGAGAGUAAAUAUCAACAUAUCACUUGAUAUAUGGGUAUACUUUAAAAUGAUAAAUAUGAGAUAUUUAUUUCUAGAAAGUCUUCUCGGAUAUCAAGAAUCGUAAAAUUGAAUAUACAAGUAUGACAACUCAACACCUUUACUUUAAUUAGAUGAUAUAUGGACAAAGAGACCAAUAAUUUAAAUAUUAUUGUCACAUAAUAAGUUAAUAUAUUUAAUUAUUAUAACCUAAAAAUGCAAGACAUAGCUUGAGGGUCAUAAACAUAUAUUUAACCCAUUCGAUAUUCUUAUAUUCCCUGAGAGUGCUUCCGCUGCAUUCUUAUAAAUAGAAUAUGAGAUGUUAAAACCCAUUUUAUAAAAAAAUAAGAAUCACUUAGAGUCUUGUCUCUUCUAGAACAAGGUGCACGCACGUUUUUCUAGUGGAUGUGGUCGUGUGGACUUCUAUAAAGACUAUGAUACAAUUGCUUCGUUUUCUCACUAAUCUUUAAUUCUUAAUCCUGUUGUUCGUUUUCCUCUUGGAACUUUGAAACAUAAUCUGAAAGUCCUUUCGUCCGGUGAAUAGUUUUUGAGAAAAAAAUGUUGUAUCCACAAUGUAUUGAGAUGUAUACACUAUUAUUAUAUUAUUCAUAUUUAAUUAUAAUUGACUCUUCCAAUAAAUAUUAUAAUGACUAUGUAUAAAUAUCUUUAAACUAACGGUACAUAGAUAUUACAUUCAAUUUUUUAUAAUGCAAUUAUUUUCUAUAUGAUUCCCUACAAUAUCUUCAUCUUCCUCCACACUAGCUAUACCUUAUCCUAAUUCUUCUUCUUCCUCCUCCCCUUUGUUUUACUCACAUCCCUAGAAUCCAUCACCUUACAACCAUUCUCACCACCACACAACAAGCAAAACCCAAACCAAGAAUUUCAAAGUCCAAACACCCUUCAAUAUCCUACCACUACUAUAAUCACUGCCAAUAAAUCGGGGUACAACCCCAUAUGAUAAAGCAAAUGAGUAACAAAGAAAACUCAUAAAUUAAAAUAGAACAUGGUUUCGGUCUAUGGUACCAAAGUCGCCAUCUAAGGCUGAUGGUGGCUCAAAGACCUCACAUUUAUUAGAGAUAGUUAGAUUGAUAGAGAAUUAUCAUAUCCAAGAUUUAGUUUUUUUAUUUUAUUUGAAUUUAUUUUUAAUUUAUGUUUACCUUAUUAGUUAUUUUUUAUUAUUAUUAUUAUUAUUCUAUCAUUUUUAUAACAACUUUUGCACAUAUAAUACACCACAUCAAAUGACUUAUAUUGAGUUUGAUCAAUAUUUAUCAUCAUAAAUUUCUACAACACAGACAUGACUAAAGUAGACACUAGACAACAAGGGGUUUUACUGGACAAUAGUAUCGAAAUAUAUUUUGUUAUUUAUGGUUAAUAAAUAUUUAUAAAAUAAGUUGAUUAGAUAGUUAGGAGUUAAAUAAAGUUAAGUCUCUUAUAUUUUAUAUAUAAUAAUAUAAUGGUUAAUUUCAUUAUAAUUCAUUCGUUAUCAAUUCAUUAAAUCCAUUAAAUUUAGUAUCAUUUUAAUCAUUCAAUAAAUAAAUACAUCUUUUGUUAUUACUUGAUUUCUAAAGUAGAACCAAGAUGCUGUUAGUACUAUGAAGCUUGUUAUGAUGGUUGAUCGUGGUCCUCAACAAAUCACCACCAUAGCAACUGCUGGUGUCAAUUGGAAAGAGGGCGACUCAUGGUGGUCCCGGGGUUCAAAGGCGACUAGGUUGUGCCAAGACUUUAGAUGAUAUCAAAUUUGUGAAGCCAUUAGUUCAAUGCAUUUCAAUUGAAUCAACCUCUAUGAGGAAAAUGGUCUUUUACUUAUUAUAAAUUCAUGGAUUUGAAGUACCAUUGUGGGUUUGAUAAAGGAAUAAUACAAUAGAAUGGCUAGCUUCAUGGAUAUGAUUAGACAGAGUUGUAGAAAGUUUGGUUAGAGAGGAUGGAUAAAGAUCACUUAUCCCAUAUAUUCAUAAUUUUGUCUCAUCUAAUGUUACAUCAUUUAAAAUUUAUAGCUCAUCAUGUAAACAAAAUACAUAUUCCUAUGUUUCCUUCUCCUUACUAAAAUAGAAUAAAACAUUUCGUGACAUAUAUUAUUAAGCAGAAACUAUAUACUGAUUUUUUUAGUUGUCUCAUACUUUUCACUUUUGUUUGUAGACGUUUGAAACUUCAGAAAUUUAUUUGAUAGUAAAAAAUCUUUAAGGAACUAAAUACUAACCAAAAAAUAAAUUAAGGGAUCGGGUAAUGGGAUUUGCCUUACAAAUAUAAUGUAAAAUACAAUAAAACUCUUACCACGACCACUAUUUGUAAUAAAAUGGAAACAUUUGAUCUGUACAAACACACCCUUAGUCUCUUUUGACACUCGUUCUACUCUAUAAUAACAAAAAUAGGGCUUACAUUAUCACUAAACAGAAUUAAUGGUAAAAAUAAAAAUUAGUAUACCCAACUUUCAACCCUACUUCAUAAUAACCUCCUAGGACCAAUUAACCCAUGUUACUGCCACUAUUAAACACAGAACACUGCGCCACCGGUCUUGACAACUGUCCCCCAGCACUGGCCGGACACGUCAUCAGGUCCGCCGGCGGAACCAUACAGUUAUAGGACAAACACAAUGAAACCGCAUCGGGCAACACCAUUCCGACCUUCAGCGAAAUCCCCGUAAAGUAGUUAUGCUGAAGGUACAAUGUUCUGGUGCUACCGUUGCACACGCUGUUAACAUACUCCUCAGGCACCUUCCCACUGAAACGGUUAUUAUUCAAAAACAAACUCUCAACUCCUUCAAAAACCGUUGAUAUUUCACCACUCAAUGAGUUAUGACUAAGAUCAAUGAUCGAUCCUGGACUGUACGAUAAGGACCCUUUAUUGGAUCUUUCUGGAAGCCCACCAGAGAAAUUGUUCCGUUGCAAAAAGAGAGAAGAAAGUGUGGGCCUGAAUAAAAGUUGGGCCGGGAUUGGCCCAUUAAACUGGUUCAUGCUCAGGUCGAGGAAAACUAACUCUGAUAGUGAUUCAAAGCCGUUGGUGAGUGGACCCCACAUUCUAUUAUUUGAUAGCGAUAGAUAACGGAGUGAUGACGUCAUUGACGUUGGUAACGGUCCUUGUAGGUCGUUGUUCUUCAAAUCAAGAUGGAGUAACGGCGCGGAAACGUUUUCUGGCAACUCGCCGGUUAGUGAGUUUGAGGCUAAGAUUAGAACCUUGAGCUGUGGUAACUCGGUUAGACUCGGUGGGAUUGACCCAGCGAGUUGGUUGUUACUCAGGUCAAGAGUGUGGAGGGCUUUGAGGGAAGAAAAUGAAGUGGGAAUGGAACCUGUGAAGCGGUUAUUGGGCAACGAGAUGACUCGGAGAUGGGUGAGUUGACCUAGUUCGGGUGGGAUUGGACCGGUUACGAUUCCUGGGGAGAGGAUGAGCUGAGUUAACUCGGUGAGGGAGGAGAUAGAGCGGGGUAAUGAGCCGGCGAGUUUGAACGAGUUGGUGCCGAGUGAGAGAAUGGUGACUCGGUUGAAGGAGCAUGUAACGCCGUAGAAGGAGGAGCAGGGAUCUGGUGCGGUGAGGUUCCAUGUGGAGAAGAAAGGUGCAGUUGGUGAGAGUUCGGUGAGAGUGUUUUUAAUUGAGAGAAGGGCUUUGAGAUCGAAAGGGUUAAUGUUUUGGUUUUGUUGAAGAGAUUGGGAUGAGAAAAGAAGAAUGAAAUGGUAUAAGAGAAGAAGAGCGUGACGUGGACUAGUCAUGAAAUGUGAAAGAAAAAAUGAGAAGAAGGCUGAAGUGUUUGUGAGUGUGAGUGCAAGAAGCAAAGAUAAGAAAGUUUGGUACAGUAUGGAAAAUAAAUAAAGAGAAGUUGAUGGUGAAGAGGACAGAACAGUGCUUUUGGUACUUUAGAUGAAGUGAUAAGAGAGAGCAAGGAGAACAAGAACAUACGUAAAUAAUGGACCACAUCUCUUCUAUCACUUUUUGUAUGAUUAUAUGUACAAAAAUUAAAGUUGUAAAAAAUUAUUUAAAUUAAGUAUGUAAUUAUUAAAUAUUUUUAUGUCAAAUUGUAUCUUAUAGUGUAUAAAGUUGUAUAAAAUAGUGAGACAACAUAUGUCUAACCUAAGUUGGAUUAUAUCUGUUGUCUCACUUUUUCUAUCACUUCAUAUACUAUUAAUUCCAAACCAUAAUUCAUUUAAUGAAAUUUUGAUAUAUAAUAAAAAGAAUAUAAAAUUUAUAUACGGGAAAGAUUUAUACACAUUUCACGAUUCACCAUUAAUUUGGAUUAUAUAUUUUUUUUGAAAAGUCAACAAUAACAAUUAAAUAUCAAUGAUGGAUAAUAUAAUAACAAUAUAUAAAACUCAUAUAUCAUCAAUGCAUAACCUUUUUUUAAUAAAAAAUUUACGUAUAACUUAAUUUUAUUUUUCACUGACAAAAUUCCUUAGGAUUAGACAUGUUGCGGAGAUGAUUUUGGGAUAGGUAAUAGGUAGAUGAGAGGUCACAAGAUUAAGUGUUCAUGGUUCUCAAUUUCGGAUGAAUAUCUUCUAUCUAAAUUCGUUUUCUAUUUGUAUAUCAGGUCAAUCAAAAUAUCUUACUUUAUUAGGAAAAUAAAAAUAAAAUUAUAAAUUUUUUUAUUUAUAUUAUUUAGUAUUAUUCUAUUAAGUAAAGAUACAGUGUCACUCUAUUAGAUAGAGAUAUAGGGACAUGGUCCUUUUGGGAUAGAGUAUCCCUCCCUCAACUUUUUUUUGAAUGAAGUGAAACAAUGAAAGGAGCUCAUGCAUUGUGACAGGGUAUGAGAAAUGACGUGGGUCCCAUUCCCAGGAUUAUUGUGCGAAGGAAAUAACUAGCCGCAUUAACUAACAUAGAGAUGCUGAAGUUAGCAAAUUAGCUGAGACUAGCACCGGAAAAUUGGAUCAUGUCUUGUCUACAUGUUAUUAUUGGUGAGUAUGACAUAAAAAUUGUCUCCAUUAACCCAAAAUAUUUAUUCCAUUGCCCAUUGGCCAUUUUAUAAUAAUACUACUGCCUAGGCCCAAUUUAGGAAAGGAAGUUCGAACCCAAGCACAUGAGCACGACAGAGGAACAUUCACAAUACAAAUGGCAAACACCCGGUCACAAAUCCCAAAUGCAUUUGAGCUUUGAGGCAGACACGCAUGACAAAUGAGAAUGUAGAAGAGUCAGCGAUGACAAAAACGCACUCAGGCAGUGACGACAGGGAUGAUAGCUUCAAGAGUAAUAAUGUGUCCAAAGAUAGUCUCACAUUUUAUUUAUCACAUUUUCUCAAGAAUGAUUUACAUAUAUAUUCAACUAUCAAUUAGAGCAACACAAUAACAUUAGAGCAAAACAUCAAUUUGUCGUAAGCCAAAAGAUAUUAUUUGAUAUUGGAUCAAAGGUAACUAACUUAUUACCUAGUCUGCUAGACUUAGAUGGAGAAAAAAUGAUAAUUUCACAUUACAUGUCUCAUUUUCUCAAGAAUUGUUAAAUACCAUUGACCUACUUCUCUCAAUGUGAACUGAUUUUAAGAUGAAAUUUUUACACAAAGUCUAAUGAAAGCUAGUUUUCAUGUUUGUCACUCAAAUCCUAUUUUCCUUCAAUUAUUGUGUUGCUUUUUUUUUGUAUAACCAAAGGUAUUCAUUCAUCCUAUGGGUAAAGAACUAAUUCAUAUGUCUCUUUUAACAAGUAUUGUUUAUAAGAAUAGAAUUUGUUUUAGUCUGGGAAUUCAAUCUGUGUUAUGAGUCUAUUCAUGAAGCUUCUAUUUUAGAAAUCUAUGAUUUUGGGUUUGGAGAAUAUAAAGAGUUUGGAAAUAUUGUAAUUAUUAUGAAAAUUAUCAAUUUAUUCAAGAAUACAAAAAAAUGGGGCACCUAACAUAAGUUGGCUUGGAAUUAGGUUUCAUAAUAGAGAAUAUUUCGUUCGUACUUGAUGAGUCAUGAUAAAAAAUGGUCACCUUUAUUCCUUUAAUCCCUGACAAUAACCAUCUUCAAUAUUUAAAAUUAGAGCUAUAAAAAACGUUACUUGGAUGGGUUCAAGUUAGUCCACACAUGGUUUGGACUAAACCGGAAAAUGCCGAGUACAAUUAAUGUAUAUAAAAAAUCCCAGCUAUAAUUUAUGCAUGUGAAGUUGCAUCCCAAAUCUAUCCUAAUCCAAUUGUGGGUUAUUGCGGGUGUCCCCUUAAUAUUAAAAAAUGUUUAUUUAAAUAUUAACCUAUUAAUCUAUUUUUCUAAAAUAUAUGAUUUGAUAUUAAUAUAUAAUUUUUUAAUAUAUUUAUUAUGCUUAAUUCAACCAAACUAAUAGAUCUAGUGUUUUAUGUUUGAGUUAAGACAUAAUGUCAAGUCCACAUAUACGAUUUUUAACAUAACACGUUUAUUAAAUUUCUUAUUUCUAUUGGACUCUCACUUCCUAACACAAUAUAAUAUGUGAUUUUACUUUAAUUUUUAAACCUUUGGACACUAUCAAAAAUAAUAUAUGUUAGUUUAUAGUAAUGGUAGUAUAGACCAAAGUUUAGAAGAAACUCUAUAUGUCAAAGUUUAACUCAUGAUAUAUAAUCAUCAUUCUUUACUUUCUGUACGAAUAUCAUUUGUAUGUUCAUUAUCAAAACAUUCAUUGUGAACUGGUAUGAGUUAAAUCAAUACGUUGUAAUAACAAAACAACGACGCUUAAAAUUGUGACUGCAUUUGUGUAUAGGGUUAGAUUCAACAAUGUUUUUGAAGCGCUAUAGAAAGUAAACAUUUAACCGUGCUCUCUAAAGUAUUGUUGUUAAAUGUCUACUUUAUAAAUAAGGCAAAAUCCCUCUCAGACAUUAUAUCAAAUACAUAACAAGCAUGCCCAAUUCCAUCAUAUUUACAAGAAAUUUGACAAUAGAAACAUCAUUAUGAAAACCCAAUUCAUAAAACAUUGCAUGAACUUGUCUUUCUUAGUUCAAAUUCAUUAGCCGAGAAGAUUAUAUGCAAUAAUGAAAUGGACGAAGAUGAUAAAGAUGUAGAGGACAAAUCCAUGAAUUUCUUAUCUCCCUUAAUAGAAGAAAUAAGAUGACAAAAAACAUAGUUUAUAUAAUAUAAUAAGAAUCAAAUCAAAAUUUACAUAGAAAAUAUGGAUGAAAAAAUAAUAGCCAAAUACAAGAAAUACAUACAGAUAUUUCAAGUUUCGUAAAUCACCAAAAGCUCCACCUGAAUUCAAUCUUACAUUUCCUAUAUUAUUAAAUAACUCAUUAACGUAGAUGUAAAUGCAAGCAACAAGAAUGAAUCAAAGAGAAAUAAAUGAGGUAAAAUAAGAUAGCGAUUCACCUUAUACUCGAAUAGAAAAACCAAAAACUAAUAACUUGCUUGAAGAGAGAGAAACUAAUAGAAGAAGAGUAAGAGCAAUAUAAUACUAAAUGAUAUGUGAAUUAUUUAGUGUGAGGUUUUCUUUUUAAAUCUGCAAAGAUUCACGUUCACUAAAAGAAAUACGUUGUUUGAAUGUAUGACUUUUAACAGUGCUCACUAAAGCAAACAUGUUAAAUGUGUGACUUUUAAGAGUGCUUAUUGUAAUGAGCGAUGUUGAUAUAUCACUUUUAACAAUACUCGUUUUAGCAAACACUGUUGAAUAGAUUUAAAUCAACAUCGUUUUCUUGAAAGAGCGUUGUUGAAUAUCAAAAUUCUUUAAAAUUAUUUAGUUGUUAUAUUAUGUUCAACUUUUGAGAAUGGAAUAGCAAAUAACUUAAUUUACUUACUAAAUAUGAGUUUUUGUUGUGUCAAAUUACACACAUUAAUAUUCUAUUUUAAUAAUAUUGGUCGGUGAUUUAGAAUAUUUUUUGAAGUAAUAACUAAUUGCCUUUUACGUAUAUGUAUGACCAAAUUGUGUUAUGUAUAAAAAACUAACAUAAUUUAUGUUAAAAAUUUGGAUCAUUUUCAUGUAAUAUUUACUCUAGUUGUAUCUUACAAAGUAAAAUUAAAUAAUUUCAUAAAUAUAUAUUAUGUAAUAACUAAAACAAGCGUUUACGUUGUUUGAAUACAUGACUUUUAACAACACUCAUUAAAACAAACAUGGUUAAAUAUGUGAUUUUUAACAACACUCAUUGUAAUGAGUGCGAUUGAUAUGUCACCUUUAACAAUACUCAUUUAAGCAAACGUUCUUCAAUAAAUUCAAAUCAACAAUGCUUGCUUAAAAGAGUGUUGUUGAAUAUUUUAGGUAGACAUAACACAGUGCUCGUUGAUGCAAGCGUUGUUGAAGCUAUAUCCGCCUAUCAAAUUUAACAAUGCUUGCUUAAAAGAGCGUUGUUGAUUAUCUUCCAUCUUUUAUUUAACAGUGUUGUGCUAGGAAGCGCCGUUAAAUGAUCGUUGUUAAAUGCGUAUUUUGACGUAGUAAAUUUAGUUACGUGGAGUUCUCUAUGAUAAAAAUUUAUGAUGUAUUUUAGUUUUGUUGUAAAAAUUAUUGUUUUUUAUUAUGUUUUUGUUGCAAAAGUUAAAGAGAAAACGAUAUAUACACUAACAAGGUAAGAGUUUUUUACAUUGUCACUACAUCAUUCACCAUUCAUUUUUAAUUACCAUUGACUUUUAAAAAAAAGUAAUCCGAAUGAAAGUUGGAUGAUACACUGACUGUGUAUACAUAUUUACAUCAUCAGUGCAUAAAUUUAACACUCAAAGUUAAAUAUAAUUAAAUACACAAUUAAGAAAUGAAAUACAUAUGGUUUAACGUUUCUUCUCAUUUGAUUUGAAAGACUAUCUUGUUCUUGUGCAAUGACAUUAUACAAAAUAUGACGAAUUAUAUAGUGCUUUACUUUAUAACAUUAUUUUAAUUUAUAAAUAUUCACAUUAUAAAUAUUACUUUAUUUUAUAUUUUCAAAGUUCAUCAGAUCAAUAUUUAUUAUCUAUUUUUAUUAUAAGUCUAUAGUAUUAUUAUGUUGGAAAAUAAUCUUCACUUACGAUUUAUUAUCGAACCAAUGAUCCAAAAAAAAAGAGAAUAGAACGGAUAGCCCAAACUGGCUGAGUAAGCUCGACCUAAAUACAAUUUUAAUAUAGUUUAGUCGAUCCGGGCUAGAAGAUAUGGAUUCAAUAAAAAGUACCUCAUAUAAUAUUCAAACCCUAUAAAUUUUUGGGCUAUGGCAGACCGGCCUGAUGGAGCUCGCCUAUUUUGACACCUAUGUUUAAAACCAUUUCUAAAAUAAUAAGGUUUUUAACUUACUUCCUACCAUAUAUAUGUCUUCCAUUAAUUUGUUGAUGUCCCAAAAUUUAUUUGUGGCCAAUUCUUUUUACUAUAUAGUUGUCUAAUUGACCUUCUUUCAAGGAGGCUUUACUAUUUUGAAUACGUUAUUUGUGUUAGUUUUAAGACAGAUGAUGCAGAUGCCAAAACACAUUAACCAAUUGGAAAAAUAGAGUAUAAAAUUAGGGCUUGCUUGUGAGCAAUAAAGAUGAUAUUUCAUGCUUUUUCCAUAUUGCUAGCUGCAAUAGUUUCUACCCCACAACAUUUGAGUUUCACUUACCAUAUUCUAUUUAAAGCAUAAAAAAGUGGAAAAAGUACAUGUACUACCACUUUCACCACGCUUUUUAAUUGAUCCGUAAGGAGUUGUAAUUUGAAAAGGAAGUAAUUAUUUAAAUGUUAGAAAAUUCAUUUUUGGAGAAAUAGAUGUUUGAAGAUGGUUCAUACUUUGUGGAUCAAGUAUGUAAAUGUUAGAAAAAUUUGUUUAAUAGAAAUAAGAUUUAGUCCUUCCAUAUUAAUAUUUUCCAUCCAAAGUUAAUGAUGAAGAUUAAAAUAAAAAUUAACUAAAAAAUAUAAAGAAUAAAAACUUAAAACAAAAUACAUGGACUAAAAUCAGCACGAGCAACAAAUGGAGGGAACAAAGUCACAUUUAACCCUUUUAUAAAUCACAUGUCUUUCUUUAUUUAUUUGUAAAAAUAAUGUAAAUAGAUAAUGUUAGAAAACAAUAUUAGAAAUGAUUAUUUCUUAGUUUCAUCUAGUCAUAAAUAACUUGAUUAUUUUCUGAUGAUGGUGGAUAGAGACAACACCCCUAAAAAAUUCUAUUGAAACCAAGAAAUAUAAGUUUGCCCGCUAUUCACAUUAAAAUAAAUGGAGAUUUCGGAGAACACUGAUUGACAAAUAAAUAUUAUUUUUAUAGCCUAUUUGAAUAAAUAAAUCAUAUACUUGGAAAAUUCUAUUUGUCAAAACUAAACAAUAUUAGAAAACUAUUUUCAUAUAGUAACUUAGUCAAAUUGAAAGAUAUUCUCCAAUAGUGAACAUGGUAAUCCAACGGUUAGAAUUGAUUUACUCAACUUUGAAAUAUAUUCUUCUCCAAUAGUGAACUUGGUAAUCUAACGAUUAGAAUUGUUUUGCUUACUUGGAAGACAUUCUCAAUUACUGAACUUGGUGAUCCAAUGGUUAGAAUUGCUUUAGUCAAGUUGGAAGACAUUCUCCAAUAAUGAGCUUAGUGAUCCAACGGUUAGAAUUGCUUUCAUAUAUACUGGGAAGAUAUUCUAAAACAAUGAACAUUGUGAUCAAAUAGUUAUAAUUGAUUUAAUUAACAUUGAUAACAUUAUCCAAUAGUGAAAUCGAUUAUCCAACUCUUAGAAAUGCUUUACUCAACUUGGAGGACAAUUUCAAUGAGGAUAUUUUGUAAUUUUUUUUACUAUUUAUGCUACCUAUUAAUACUGAAUAGAGAUCUUCUAUCUUGAAUUGUGUCCAUAAUGAUAUCCCUACUAAUUACAAUAUGCCAUUCAAUUAAAUAAUAAAAAAAUCAUAAAAGCAGAAUUAUAUUAAUUGAUGUGAUUUGAUUGAAUAGAGACAUGAAGAGACAUAGUUUCUUAGGACAAAUGAUUUCUCUUCGUUAAUGCCUCCAUAAAUCAAUACCCUAUGGGCAUUAUUUGCCAUCAUAAUGUGUAUGAUGUAUAAUCAAUGCACACAUUAUCCAUUCUCCCCUGUUGAGUACUUGACAAAUUUCCCUUAUAGUGAUUUCAAUCACUUAUACUCAUUCACUAUCACAGUUAAGUUCAGUUCCAAGUGUUCAUAAUUGAUUGUUACUAGCAACGUGAUCAACUACCAAAAUGCAAUAAUUCUCGUAAUCAACUACUGUAGUGAAAAAUCCCAAUCAUGGUCGAUUAUUUUUAAGUUUUUAUUGAGAAAAAAUGUGAUAUAAGCCUUAAAUGCUUUUGUGAAAAAAUAAUAUAAUGUCAUAAUAAGAAAUUGUUGUGCAAAUGAAAUUUUAAAUUCGUAUAACAUGAUUGUUGCAAACAACUUUUUAAAACAAAAGUGUAAUUCCAAACCAAGUGAAGGAGUGACCCAAACACAUGUGAAAAAGAGUGAAAUCAACAUUUAUUUUGCCUAAUUAAACUUGUUUUAGUCUUUAGUUCUCUUAAUUGCAUACGAUUGAUAGGAAAGGAUCAAGGCAUGUUUAUUCUUUAGUUGAACUAAAAAUAGUCAAAAAGUCUAACAAAAAAUAUGAUCAUCCUUUGAUAAACCCCUUUGAGCCAAACAAAGUGAAUUAAUUUUUUUCCUAAACAAACCCAUGAACAAAAGAAAGCAUAAAUUUUUAAAGUGAUUGAAAAAUAAUAAGCUGGGGGGGGGGGAAUUGGUAGGCUCGACUUCUUGAAACGAAAAAGUGAAUUUUUUCUUCCAAUAUCUUUACAAAAGCAACAAAAGUUGUAAAAUAAAUGGAGAAACAAAAAGAUAUUGAAAAAGCCAAAAAGAGCCAAGGUUCAGAAGCUAAAAAAGAAAUUAUGAAAAAAAAGAGGAGUAAAAGUGCUUCAUAGAAUUUUUUUGAAAAAUUUGCUCUCAUGAAAUUUGCUUAUCCAAGAAAAACCAUGAUCUUUUCAAGCCUAACUUCAUUACAACUGAAAACAAGUCCUUAGUUAUCCUUGAUUGAAUAUGCAAUUUAAGAGAAUAGGUAAGACAAAGACCAAGUUCAAAUUAUUACAUUCAAAUGGUAGAAUAUUGAGUGAAACACUUACAUCCCUUGAAAAGUUCUAUCUUUGAACUUGUGUGCACAACAAACAUUUUUUGAUUGAAAAUUAUUUGCUUUGAUUUUAUUACAUAUUUUUUGAUGAACAUAAGCAUGAAAAUUAAUGUUUGAACCAUUAUGUGUGAAUUUCAUAAAUCUUGAAAAAUCUCAUUGAAAUGUUUUUAGCAUGCUUAAGCAAAAUUUGAAAUCAUGUCAAUCUAAUCAUAAAAAUUAGCCAAUAUAAUUCGGAUGUGUUUUACCGUUUGUUUAAGGACAAACAAAGUCUUAAGUUGAGGGAUUUUAUAAGUGUCAAAAAUACCUAAUUUUCAUAUACUUUUCAUGGCACUUAUCUUAUGAAAAUCAUGCACAACCAACAUAAUUCAACACUUUUUAGAUAAAUUGUCAUAUUUUGAUUCUAUAUUUUUUGUCCACCUCUUUUCCAAAUCUUUGUGUGAAGUUUCUAGGAAAAAUUAAGAGAAGAAAAAGAAUCAAGAAAAAUUAGUCAAGCAAUGAGGUGUCCACAUAAGCCACUAUUGAUGCACACGCAGCAAGCUAAGUGCUUAACCACAAGCAUGGACCAAAAACAUGAAGCUGCUCACUAAGGAAUCUAGCGUGGACACUUAGCACCGCCCAGCUGAUCUAGCACCAACUUGGCUCGGUUAACACAAACCUUACACGGUGAGACUCAAGCAUGACACAAGCCAACCUGCUGAAGCAGGCAACUCAACGUGCACCUUGGGAUCGUCGAGCUGGAACCACACACCUGGUCAGAGCUGGACAAGUUGCUCAAGGAAUUAGCUUAGCAUGGCCACCUAAGCAGUCAGGCGGGCUGGACCUAACAAAAUGGGUCAACUUGACUUAGCCACCAAGCAACCAUGACAUCACGCAUAACCUCACUUGACAAGGCCUCUGAACACUAUUCAAAAUAGCUCACAAUAGCCUGGUCAAGUAUCUCACAACUAGCUUUGGUCAGUCAAGACCAAGCAACUGACUAAGCUGCUUGGUCAUGGUCCAAACCCAUGCUGAAGGGUUUGGUGCGCCCAGUGUGGAUCAGGAGGGGGCCAGGCGGUCACAGGUUGCCUAUAAAUAGAGGUCAUCUCCCACUCUUCAAAGGCAUUCAAUUCACUUCCAAUUUGCAUUCAAAUUCCUAUUCAUACAAUUUCUACUUGUAAUUCAAGAGGAGAAAGGAGAUGACAAAUGUGAUACAAAAACAUAAAUUAUAAUCUCAUUUGGGUCCAAAAGUAUCUCAUCCUUGGAUAGAUGACUUAUGCUCCUAUAUAUUGAUUUGGAUUAUGGUGUAAUUUUAGUUCUUUUCCUCAUUUGUAUCAUAUUUUGAUUUCAAUACAUUUAAGUUAUUAUUUUUGGUUAAUUUUUUAUUCUUUAAGAAGUUCUUAAUGCGGUUUUAGCUUGAUCACCUAAAACUUGAUUUAAAGAUCUAAAAGUAUAACCUACACCUUACUUCACUUGCCAUAUCAAGCAUCUAUUUUAAGCAACUUAUAUCUAAGGCUAAAUGAUGUUAAUGGAGCCUGAAGUAGGGUGUGACAACCUACUCCGGCAAGUGACACUUAACUAUUAUUUAGUGUAUUACAUAAGGUUUUAAAACAAUCUUAUCAUACUAGGACACUAGAUGAAGGAUUUAGAAAUGGUGUGUGAAAUUAACCGAAAGUAUAACACAUAACUUGUAAUGUUUUUCAAAAUCAUUUGAGUCUAGAAAUAAUUCCAUAUUUCAAACCAAUUUUCUCCUUAAGAAUUUGUGAAUAUUAGUUUAUGUUUCUGUGUUAAUAUAUUUAUGCGACAUAACUAAAAAAUCAUCAAAAAGUUGUUAAUCAUUAUUUUUUUAUAAUCUGCCUAUAAAAUCUUCUUAUAAUUCAAUUCUCUUUGGUUCGACAAAACCCUAUACUAUACUAUAAUUGAAUCUUGAAAAGAGAUGCAAGUGUGGCAUAGUAAAAUGUAGACUUAUAAAUUUUAUUUGUUGAUUAAAAGAUUCCUAAAAACAUAAGUUCAAACCAAUUCAUGGUUUGUAACUUUGUACACAGGAAUAAUAUGCAAAAGAGUGCAAUCCAAUCAAUGGAUUGUUACUUGACAAAUAAAGAGUGAUGAAUAAUAAUCUAACCAGUAACAUUUACUUUCUGUCAUUUACUUUCUACAAAUAAUAUUUACUUUAUGCCAUUUACUUUCCGCAACUAAAAUUUACUUUCUGCAACUAACAUUUACUUUCUGUCAUUUACAUUUCUGCAACUAAUAUUUAUUUAUUGUUUUAUUCUUUAUACCAACCCUUCGAAAGAAGUGGUAUGGUUAACUUCUAACUUUAUUCUUUUGUUCAUUUUAUUCUUUGAUACCAACCUUUCAUAAGAAAUGGUAUGAUUAACUUAAUAAAAUAAGACAAACAAUGAUAUGGUUAAAAGGAAUCCGAAAAUGGGGUAAAUAAAUAAAGUCACCAAAUAAAUAAGUUGUUCAUCACUCAUCACUCUAAAAUAAAAUCAGCUUGCAAGGCAUUCAAAUUACCCUUCAACAAAGUGACACAUGUUGUUGUUGAGGGGUGGAUUCCUACUGCCCGCGAAUCUUGAUUUUUCAACAAGAUAUAACAAUUUUUACUGAUGUUAAUUGAUUAAGGGAGUAUAUAAUCGAUUAAACUCAGUAAAGAAAAUUGAACAAAUGCACAAAAUCUGUAGUUAAUAGACUAAUUGUUGCAUUUAAUCGAUUAAAAAACAUAAAUUUAAGUUUUCCAGCAACGUAAUGAACAUACAUUCAGAACAAUCAUUUGCACAUAUAGUCUCAUAAGAAAUUUAAGCACCAUGCAUGCACGAUAUGUCAAGAAUUCAACAUACAUUACAAAUAAAGUCGGACAUGUUCAUAACAAGUUACAAAAUGAAGUACGAGUAAGCGAGAUAUCAAAAAUAUUACAAACCGGAAAUUUAAAAUGAGUCAAGCAAAAAGAAUACCAAAUAUAGAUGCAAAACACUCAAACUCACCCUAAAUCCUAAUCUAACUUAAAUACUCCUAAGCUAAACUAUUCUUGAGGUGGCGAUGGUGAUGGUGGAUUACUUUGCAUGGCUCUCAACUUGAAGAUACCAUGAUCAAUUUACUGUGUGGUCCGUUCCUCCUACUUAUAGAACUCAAUUGUCAUUAUAUCUCUCAAGGAUUGAAAGCUUACGUCCACACGCUCAUUCAUGUGUUGUUCCAUGGAAUCCAGUUAAGUAGAACCAAAAUCAAAAUUAUGAGAUGCAUUUGAAGUCUCAGCCUGUGGUUGUGCAAUGCUUGGUUCACCCUGAUUUUCAUUACCCUCAUCAUCAAAGAAAUCAAAAUUCAUAGUUGUAUGAUCUUCCUAGUACUUCCAAGUACCACCAUACUUAUAAAUUCACAUUUUGUGAAUUAGAUUUUCUCCGAUAAGGUGCUCACGAGAGUUUGUGGUCAUGACUCCUACAUCAGAUACAUCAAUCUCCAUAUGAUCGAUAAUCCUCGAUAUAAAAAUCUCAUAUACAAGCACCCUAGAAGAUGAAGAUGCAGUACCAGAUAUAACUUUUAGGAUUUUAGUAUGCCAAAUAACAAUAAUACAUUCUUUAACAACAAACAUCAACUUCAAAUCAUUUAUCGUUGGUUGAGCAAAGUUGGUGUUCCUUUGAACCAUGAUAUAAGCAAUUAAGUAAUGAAGAAGACGAUUUUAUAUGGUGAGAGACCCAACUUUGAGUAGCUCACCUUGCAUAUAGUAUUGAGGACCCUUUAAGCAUGAUUUGUACAUCAUAACAACAUCAAAAGUUUCCCAUGGGCUAUCAUCGUAACCACCUAAGGGAAAUCCAUUACUAGACAAACCUCUUACUUCCAUAAACAUAUUUUCAUCCAAAGUAAUUAAUUUUCCCUUAACCAUAGUCAUAUGUAAUCCCUCCCUAACAUGGAAAUUGUUAUAGAAUUCUCUAACCAAAGAUGGGUAAAUGUUACCGUUUAAUUCCAGAAAUUGGCUAGCUCCUUUUGAUUCCAUUUGAUGAGGGAACUCAAGGCACUGCUACGCCAACCACGUCAUGUCGAGAUAUCUAAUAUACAUUAGCUUUCGUCCAUGAUACUUUGCCAAACGUGAGGCUUCAAAAGUUUGGGAAUAGAAUGGAUCCUUCUUAGCAGAUGAAGAUCUACCAGUUUUAGUGGUUCGAUGUCUUUUUACGGUGGUCUUUAUUCUAACUUGCCUUUGUUCACUCAUAAUUCAGGUAUAAUAAAGAUUUUAUCGAUUAAGGUGGAUUAAAUCAAGUUAGGGUUUAGGUUUCUAAAUUGGGGAUUUUGGUUUUUUUUAGAGAAAUUUGUCGUUGAGGAUAGAUGAUUUUGAGAAGAAGGAUUAUAAGAGUUCACGAAUUUGACAAAGUAACACUUAUUUUCAAGUGACAUGAUGGAAAGACAAGGGGGCACAAAUUGGGAAUUAGAGUUCUUAAGUUUGGAACCCUAAGACAGAACUGAAAUCACUUAUAUUUCUAUCAUUAAUCAAUUAUUGUGUCUCGUUAAUUGAUUAUUGUUAUUCAAAAAUUGAAUCUCAUAGCUACUGUAAGUUAUUUAAUCGAUUAUGAUUGAGAGGUAAUCGAUUACAACCCACAUAACAUACCCAGAUAAUCGAUUAGAACAUGGCCUAAUCGAUUGAUCAAAUCACUAGUACAUAUUUUGAGUCAAUCUUGGUGACGCUGACACAUUUAGGCUAGACACACACUUUCUAAAGCUUAAGAGCAACACAUUUCAACCACACACAAAUCAUAAAGGCAAUUAAGCAUUAUAACAUACAUUCAACAUAUAUUAGCAUAGGGAAAACAUGGCAAGACAAAAAAUAUAAACUUAAAAACAAGCUAGGUUAGAUAUGAUUCAUCAAGGAUUCCAAGUUCUAUCUAAAGAACAAAGAAUGUGUCUCGUGAAAGGGGUUUGACGAAUAUAUCAGCUAGUUGUUUUGAAGUUUCUACAAAUUCAAUUACAUAGUCACCUUUUUAUACAUGAUCCCUAAGAAAAUGAUGUCGGAUUUCUAUAUGCUUAGUACACAAAUGCAAGAUGACGUUCCUUGAUAGGUUUAUGGCACUCGUGCUAUCACACUUGACCAGAAUGUGAUUAAGAUUAAGACUAUAGUCAUGCAAUUGAUGCUUCAUAUAUAGGAUUUGAAUGCAACACAUGCCAGCAACUAUAUAUUAUGCUUUGGCAGUUGACAAUACAUACUUGCUUCUUGUUAUGCCAUUAAACAAGGGAGCUACCUAACAGGUAGCAAGUCCCAUUACUACUCUUAUGAUUCAGAAUCAGAAUACCCUAUCAAAGAUAGUGAGUAAUCUCUAGGAUACCAUAGAUCCAUAUCUAUUGUUCCUUUUAGAUACUUUAUGAUUUGUUUUACGAUAGUAAAAUGUGAUUCCUUAGGAUUUGACUGCAAGAGGAGUCAAAGUUUGCAAGUCUGGUCUUCCACGUAGUUUUGAUGAAGACAAUGAUUUGAGGAAAGCUUGAAGAUUGAUUCAACUGAACAAACAACAAGCCGAAGACUCAAGGUCAUCUAGAAAUAGAAAAUUCUUUUAUAUAUUUUUAGAGUGCUAAGAUGAUUGAUUAGUUUGAGUCUAGGUUAGGUAAACCAAGGCAGAUAAUCGAUUAGAACAUGGCCUAAUCGAUUGAUCAAAUCACUAGUACAUAUUUUGAGUCAAUCUUGGUGACGCUGACACAUUUAGGCUAGACACACACUUUCUAAAGCUUAAGAGCAACACAUUUCAACCACACACAAAUCAUAAAGGCAAUUAAGCAUUAUAACAUACAUUCAACAUAUAUUAGCAUAGGGAAAACAUGGCAAGACAAAAAAUAUAAACUUAAAAACAAGCUAGGUUAGAUAUGAUUCAUCAAGGAUUCCAAGUUCUAUCUAAAGAACAAAGAAUGUGUCUCGUGAAAGGGGUUUGACGAAUAUAUCAGCUAGUUGUUUUGAAGUUUCUACAAAUUCAAUUACAUAGUCACCUUUUUAUACAUGAUCCCUAAGAAAAUGAUGUCGGAUUUCUAUAUGCUUAGUACACAAAUGCAAGAUGACGUUCCUUGAUAGGUUUAUGGCACUCGUGCUAUCACACUUGACCAGAAUGUGAUUAAGAUUAAGACUAUAGUCAUGCAAUUGAUGCUUCAUAUAUAGGAUUUGAAUGCAACACAUGCCAGCAACUAUAUAUUAUGCUUUGGCAGUUGACAAUACAUACUUGCUUCUUGUUAUGCCAUUAAACAAGGGAGCUACCUAACAGGUAGCAAGUCCCAUUACUACUCUUAUGAUUCAGAAUCAGAAUACCCUAUCAAAGAUAGUGAGUAAUCUCUAGGAUACCAUAGAUCCAUAUCUAUUGUUCCUUUUAGAUACUUUAUGAUUUGUUUUACGAUAGUAAAAUGUGAUUCCUUAGGAUUUGACUGCAAGAGGAGUCAAAGUUUGCAAGUCUGGUCUUCCACGUAGUUUUGAUGAAGACAAUGAUUUGAGGAAAGCUUGAAGAUUGAUUCAACUGAACAAACAACAAGCCGAAGACUCAAGGUCAUCUAGAAAUAGAAAAUUCUUUUAUAUAUUUUUAGAGUGCUAAGAUGAUUGAUUAGUUUGAGUCUAGGUUAGGUAAACCAAGGAUGAAAAUCUCACAAAGCUAAAAUUAAGUAAAACUUAAAAUAAGAGAGUCCUUCAUCCAUUCAUGAUAGGUAAUAUGCAUUAAUUUCAUUGCAUAAAUAUAUCACUUAUCUUGAAAUCAUAUAUAAUUCUAACUUUCACCCUUAGUCUUAGUUUGCCAUCUUAUACUUACACAAAGGUCCUGGGUGCUAAAGAUUACUCCUCAAUUCAUUGCAAGUUGAGUCUCAUCAACAUAUAUGCAUAGGCUUAUGGAGGUAGUAGCCAAGCCAAUGUGUCGAGCUACAAUAAGCCAGAAUACACACCACACCUUGCCAAAUUGGCACCUGCGACCGAGUCACACCAUGCCAAAAGUAUCGUGCCAAGGGCCAAGCCGACAUGCUAGAUGACCAAGCCUAGCAUAGUGCCAACAUGACAAAUGAUCGAGCCAAGCACAUUACCAAAGGGCCAAAUGACUAAGGUACCAACAUGUCAAAUAACCGAACCAACUAUCGUGCUAAUAUGCCGCACGACCGAGCCAAGCAUCAAAACCCAAUGUGUCAAGGACUAAGAUAGAUGCCACAUAACCGAGCCAAACAUCAAGACAAAGCAUGCCAAUGAUCAAGCUGGAGGCCAUGAGACUCGUGCCAAAAGCCAUACUAGAGGUCUAAGCAGCAAGCCACAACAAACAAUUGUGAUGCAAAAUCACUUGCACGUGUCACAAGCAAUCAUUGUAAAACUUGGAUAUGUUGUUAAUGACAUGUGUAAAUCAGUUAUUGGGUUAGUUAGAAAGUUGGUUAUUUAGUAUUCAGUAUAAAAGGACAAGUUAAUUCAUUAUAAAAUCAUUCAAUUCAAUUUAGUUAAAGUCAAUAUUAUUUAUCUUCUUCAUUCUCUUCUCUUUUCACCUCUUGUUUGGAGGUGUUUCAGUUCUUGUGUUACUUAAUCUUACUUAAAGAUCAAAAUGAUAAAUGUAUCGUAUAACUCAAUUGUUCCAAUAGUAGAUUCAGAUCCUUACUUUUUGACCCUUCUAAAUGAUAUCUUUCAAUUUUAACUUAGUUCCACCGAUUUCAUUAGAUGUUCGAAAUAAAAGGAAAUUAAUAAGACAUGAGAAACUUUUCGAAGAAAAUAAAAUAGAAAUUUCACCAAGUUAUACAUUUCCAAUGCACUCACGGGUGUACAUGCACACCCUGACAUGCACACAGAACGACACACGCAAUGAAAGAAAGAGACAAAUAAAUAAACAGAGAAAAUGUCAAGUGAUUGUAAAUUUACAAUGCAUGACUUCGUGAAUAAGGCAGAAUAGAAAAUUCCCAAGCUUGCACUAGUAACACACAAUUUCCUACGGUGCUAAUUUAUGUCCUUUGGCCUUUGGUACAACAGAAGUUGAACUUCAUAGUAUAGAAACUAAAACACAAUUUCUUCACUACGUCUGCUCAAGUUUCUCAGACGACGUUAUUAACUUAUUCGACGGGAUUCCUGUAAACAUCAUCAGACAGAAGUGACAGUUAUAGCACAUGGGUUAUAAUAAGAUUCUAUCAUGCAAAAAGAUAAACACAAUGUUAUUUUUCUUAAACCAAUCGCGUUAAAAAGUGUUAAUCAUAUCUACUUUGUUGAAAGUAAAAAAAAAUGUAUGCAUAGUGUAAUAAUUUUAUUAGAAAAAAAGUGUAUGCACCAAUUAAAGUCUUAUACAUUGUAACUGGAUUACCAAUUAUUUAUAUUUAAUUAUUAUUAACUCUUUAAAAAAGGUAAUACAAAUAAUUGAUGAAUGAUAUACUCAUUGUGUAAAACCUUUACAUUCCCAUGAUAUAUAUUACAAUCUAAUUUUAUAUAUUGUCACUGCAUAAUCAAUUUAAUCCUUUCUUAAUUAAUUAUUCUAAAAAAUAAUAUACAUGAAUGAUUAAUGAUGUACAUGUAUAUAAAUUUAUAUAACAAUAUAUACAUAUUACAAUUUUCUUUAAAAGCAUAUGAUUGCAUAUAUUAAAAAUGUUGUGUAAUAUAUCCAAAAAAUAUAUAACCGUAAUUUCUUUCAAUAACGUCCUUUUGUAACCAAAAAAACUUUUCUAAUGUGUAGUUUGUGGUCUAACUAUUUAAUGCACAUAAAUCUUAGCAAAAUUUGAUAUUAAUUCAUUGAUUUAUUACAUAGUCACAUAGUUAUUAUUAAAAGGAAUCCAACCAUAUCUUAUAUCCUCCUAAUUCUAAAUAAAGCAAAUAUUUAAGAACAUAAAUAUUAAAGUGAAAGAUUUGUACUAGAAAUUAGAUUUAUUCCUAAUCCUAUUGUUUUCACACAGGAGCAGCAAAGUUAAAAGUUCAAUAUUAAUCAUACUACCUUUAAAUAUAUUUAAUAUUCUGAACACUUAAAUCCAUCUGGAGGGGUCUUGCCACAAUCAAGUAGGAGCUGAAGAGCAAUGGGAAUAACGAUAUUGAUGUUAAGCAAUUUGGCCCUAAUGGUAGUGCACAGGCACACGGCAGCGUCCAAGCCCAAGAGCCCUUCAAGCACUGGACAACAAGUUUGUGUAGCACUUCCACCAAUUCCAAUGUGUAUGAGGCCACCAAGAACAUCCACACAUGUACUUAGCUUCAAGGUGUUAAUGGGGCAAGUUCCUUGUGCUGGUGUUGUUGGUGGUGGUGGUGGAGGAUAAGGUGUUUCAGUUGGUGGGGUUGGUGGAGUAACCACCGGUGGUGUUGGUGAAGGUGGUGUUACAGUAGGAGGUGGUUGAGGGACAUAGGGAGGUGAUAUGAUUGGUGGUGUGGGUAUAACUGGUGGUAAUGGGACAAAAGGAGGAGGAUACACAAUUGGUGGUUUCACCACUGGUGGCUUAGGUACAUAAGGUGGGGUCACUGGCACCACUACUGGUGGCUUUGGUACAUAAGGUGGGGUCACUGGCACCACUGGUGGCUUAGGGACAUAGGGUGGUGACACUGGUGGCUUAGGGACAUAGGGUGGUGACACUGGUGGCUUAGGGACAUAGGGUGGUGACACUGGUGGCUUAGGGACAUAGGGUGGUUUGACCACUGGUGGUUUAGGGUAUGGAGGUGGUUUAACAACUGGGGGUUUUGGGACAUAAGGUGGAUGCACUAUUGGUGGUUUAACAAUGGGUGGUUUUGGAACAUGGGGUGGAUGCACUAUUGGUGGUUUAACAGUGGGUGGUUUUGGAACAUGAGGUGGAUGCACUAUUGGUGGCUUAACAAUGGGGGGUUUUGGGACAUGGGGUGGAUGCACCACAGGGGGUUUAGGAACAUGGGGUGGUUUUGGUGAUGAUUGUGGUGGUGGACAGGGUUGUGGCUUGCCAUGAUAUGGAGGUUGUUUUGGUGCUUUGUGAACUGGUGGCUUCACUAUAUUGUGG
RNAcentral lists this long non-coding RNA (26113 nucleotides) under Lupinus angustifolius (narrow-leaved blue lupine). Its description in RNAcentral is "long non-coding RNA (LANG_LNC001826)". The record is from RNAcentral. Lineage: Eukaryota; Viridiplantae; Streptophyta; Magnoliopsida; Fabales; Fabaceae.